UGCGUAGGCGGAACUUUAAGUCAGUGGUGAAAUCCUGCGGCUCAACCGUAGAACUGCCAUUGAUACUGAUGUUCUUGAAUACAGUUGAGGUAGGCGGAAUGUGUAAUGUAGCGGUGAAAUGCUUAGAUAUUACACAGAACACCGAUUGCGAAGGCAGCUUGCUAAACUGUGAUUGACGCUGAUGCACGAAAGCGUGGGGAGCGAACAGGAUUAGAUACCCUGGUAGUCC
RNAcentral lists this ribosomal RNA (229 nucleotides) under uncultured bacterium. RNAcentral describes it as "partial 16S ribosomal RNA". It matches the Rfam family "Bacterial small subunit ribosomal RNA", at positions 568 to 796 of the family's 1533-position model. The record is from RNAcentral.